This 238-nucleotide unclassified non-coding RNA is filed under the name Hevea brasiliensis (rubber tree). The record is from RNAcentral. Lineage: Eukaryota; Viridiplantae; Streptophyta; Magnoliopsida; Malpighiales; Euphorbiaceae.
UCCCUGUUUUUGAGCAGCUUCUUCCCCGUCUUUUGCAUUGUUGCUUUGGAUGUACAUGGCAAUCACAAAUGGGGGGAGUCAUCGGGCUUGGUGCUUUGGUUGGGAAAGUCACCGUUGAAACUUUGUGUGCUUUUCAAGUUCGUAUUGUGCGUGGACUUGUUUUUGUUCUGAAAAGACUUCCUGUUUAUGCCACUAAAGAGCAGGAGGAGACCAGCCAGGUGCUUACACAAGUUCUUCG